RNAcentral lists this ribosomal RNA (1285 nucleotides) under metagenome. Its description in RNAcentral is "bacterial SSU rRNA". It matches the Rfam family "Bacterial small subunit ribosomal RNA", at positions 243 to 1520 of the family's 1533-position model. The record is from RNAcentral.
AGCUUGUUGGGGAGGUAAAAGCUCACCAAGGCGACGAUCUGUAGCGGGUCUGAGAGGAUGAUCCGCCACACUGGAACUGAGACACGGUCCAGACUCCUACGGGAGGCAGCAGUGGGGAAUUUUGGACAAUGGGGGCAACCCUGAUCCAGCCAUGCCGCGUGAGUGAAGAAGGCCUUCGGGUUGUAAAGCUCUUUCAGCCGGGAAGAAAACGCAUGGGUUAAUACCCUGUGUGGAUGACGGUACCGGAAUAAGAAGCACCGGCUAACUACGUGCCAGCAGCCGCGGUAAUACGUAGGGUGCGAGCGUUAAUCGGAAUUACUGGGCGUAAAGCGUGCGCAGGCGGUUUUGUAAGACAGGCGUGAAAUCCCCGGGCUUAACCUGGGAACUGCGUUUGUGACUGCAAGGCUAGAGUACGGCAGAGGGGGGUGGAAUUCCACGUGUAGCAGUGAAAUGCGUAGAGAUGUGGAGGAACACCAAUGGCGAAGGCAGCCCCCUGGGUCGAUACUGACGCUCACGCACGAAAGCGUGGGUAGCAAACAGGAUUAGAUACCCUGGUAGUCCACGCCCUAAACGAUGUCAACUAGGUGUUGGGAGGGUAAAACCUUUUAGUACCGGAGCUAACGCGUGAAGUUGACCGCCUGGGGAGUACGGCCGCAAGGUUAAAACUCAAAGGAAUUGACGGGGACCCGCACAAGCGGUGGAUGAUGUGGAUUAAUUCGAUGCAACGCGAAAAACCUUACCUACCCUUGACAUGCCAAGAACUUUCCAGAGAUGGAUUGGUGCCCGAAAGGGAACUUGGACACAGGUGCUGCAUGGCUGUCGUCAGCUCGUGUCGUGAGAUGUUGGGUUAAGUCCCGCAACGAGCGCAACCCUUGUCGUUAAUUGCCAUCAUUUAGUUGGGCACUUUAACGAGACUGCCGGUGACAAACCGGAGGAAGGUGGGGAUGACGUCAAGUCCUCAUGGCCCUUAUGGGUAGGGCUUCGCACGUCAUACAAUGGUCGGUACAAAGGGUCGCCAAGCCGCGAGGUGGAGCCAAUCCCAGAAAGCCGAUCGUAGUCCGGAUCGCAGUCUGCAACUCGACUGCGUGAAGUCGGAAUCGCUAGUAAUCGUGGAUCAGAAUGUCACGGUGAAUACGUUCCCGGGUCUUGUACACACCGCCCGUCACACCAUGGGAGCGGGUUCCGCCAGAAGUAGGUAGCCUAACCGCAAGGAGGGCGCUUACCACGGCGGGGUUCGUGACUGGGGUGAAGUCGAACAAGGUAGCCGUAGGGGAACCUGCGGCUG